GAUCAUGGCUCAGGAUGAACGCUAGCUACAGGCUUAACACAUGCAAGUCGAGGGGCAGCAUGUUGGUUGCUUGCAACCAAUGAUGGCGACCGGCGCACGGGUGAGUAACGCGUAUCCAACCUACCCUUGUCCAUCGGAUAACCCGUCGAAAGGCGGCCUAACACGAUAUGCGGUUCACAGCAGGCAUCUAACGUGAACGAAAUGUAAAGGAGAAGGAUGGGGAUGCGU
Molecule: ribosomal RNA, 228 nt
Filed under: uncultured bacterium
Lineage: Bacteria
Description: partial 16S ribosomal RNA
Rfam family: Bacterial small subunit ribosomal RNA
Source: RNAcentral